GGGAGCGGAUGGGGUGCUGGUGUCCCCCCCGGCCUUCAAAGCCGAGCGGGAGGCGCGUUGCGUCUCCGGUGGGUUCGAUUCCCACACGUUCCCGCCA
RNAcentral lists this transfer RNA (97 nucleotides) under Kroppenstedtia pulmonis. Its description in RNAcentral is "tRNA-Sec". It matches the Rfam family "Selenocysteine transfer RNA". Lineage: Bacteria; Bacillati; Bacillota; Bacilli; Caryophanales; Thermoactinomycetaceae. The record is from RNAcentral.